This 333-nucleotide unclassified non-coding RNA is filed under the name soil metagenome. RNAcentral describes it as "partial contains 5.8S ribosomal RNA, internal transcribed spacer 2, and large subunit ribosomal RNA". The stretch from base 3 to 118 matches the Rfam family "5.8S ribosomal RNA", at positions 39 to 154 of the family's 154-position model. The record is from RNAcentral.
GAAAGAACGUAGCGAAAUGCGAUAAGUAAUGUGAAUUGCAGAAUUCAGUGAAUCAUCGAAUCUUUGAACGCACAUUGCGCCCGCCAGUAUUCUGGCGGGCAUGCCUGUUCGAGCGUCAUUUCAACCAUCAAGCCCCCGGCUUGUGUUGGGGACCUGCGGCUGCCGCAGGCCCUGAAAACCAGUGGCGGGCUCGCUAGUCACUCCGAGCGUAGUAAUACAUCUCGCUCAGGGCGUGCUGCGGGUUCCGGCCGUUAAAAAGCCUUAUUUACCCAAGGUUGACCUCGGAUCAGGUAGGAAGACCCGCUGAACUUAAGCAUAUCAAUAAGCGGAGGA